CUUGACUUAACCAUAAGAGGUCCAGCCUGCCCAGUGACAUUGUUCAACGGCCGCGGUAUCCUAACCGUGCGAAGGUAGCGUAAUCACUUGUCCUUUAAAUGAGGACUUGUAUGAACGGCCACACGAAAGCUAUGCUGUCUCCUUUUUCUAAUCAGUUAAACUAAUCUCCCCGUGAAGAAGCGGGGAUGACCAUAUAAGACGAGAAGACCCUAUGGAGCUUUAAGCGAUUGAAACACUUGUACCCAUCUUCCACACUUCCGACAGUCUACGCUUAAUUUUACACUUUGUUUCUAGCUUUAGGUUGGGGUGACCGCGGAGAAAAAACAAACCUCCACGCUGAAAGAGUUAAUCUCUAAACAAAAAGCUACAUCUUUAAGUAUUAAUACAUUAACCUGAAUUGACCCAAUAAAUUGAUCAACGAAC
Molecule: ribosomal RNA, 423 nt
Filed under: Anomaloglossus surinamensis group sp. ABGD cluster 6
Lineage: Eukaryota; Metazoa; Chordata; Amphibia; Anura; Aromobatidae
Description: partial large subunit ribosomal RNA
Rfam family: Bacterial large subunit ribosomal RNA
Source: RNAcentral